RNAcentral lists this ribosomal RNA (435 nucleotides) under uncultured bacterium. Its description in RNAcentral is "partial 16S ribosomal RNA". It matches the Rfam family "Bacterial small subunit ribosomal RNA", at positions 29 to 507 of the family's 1533-position model. The record is from RNAcentral.
AGCGAACGCUGGCGGCAGGCUUAACACAUGCAAGUCGAGCGGGCACUUUCGGGUGUCAGCGGCGGACGGGUGAGUAACGCGUGGGAACGUGCCCUCUGGUUCGGAAUAACUCAGGGAAACUUGAGCUAAUACCGGAUACGCCCUUUUGGGGAAAGGCUUGCUGCCGGAGGAUCGGCCCGCGUCUGAUUAGCUAGUUGGUGAGGUAACGGCUCACCAAGGCGACGAUCAGUAGCUGGUCUGAGAGGAUGAUCAGACACACUGGGACUGAGACACGGCCCAGACUCCUACGGGAAGCAGCAGUGGGGAAUAUUGGACAAUGGGCGCAAGCCUGAUCCAGCCAUGCCGCGUGAGUGAUGAAGGCCUUAGGGUUGUAAAGCUCUUUUAUCCGGGACGAUAAUGACGGUACCGGAGGAAUAAGCCCCGGCUAACUUCGUG